ACGCGUAGUCAACCUAACCUAUGGACGGGAAUAACCUCGGGAAACUGAGUAUAAUGCCCGAUAGAACAUUAUACCUGGAAUGGUUUAUGUUCCAAAUGAUUUAUCGCCGUAGGAUGGGACUGCGGCCUAUCAGUUUGUUGGUGAGGUAAUGGCCCACCAAGACUAUUACAGGUACGGGCUCUGAGAGGAGUAGCCCGGAGAUGGGUACUGAGACACGGACCCAGGCCCUAUGGGGCGCAGCAGGCGAGAAAACUUUGCAAUGUGCGAAAGCACGACAAGGUUAAUCCGAGUGGUUUCUGCUAAAGGAACCUUUUGUCGGUCCUAGAAACACCGAUGAAUAAGGGGUGGGCAAGUUCUGGUGUCAGCCGCCGCGGUAAAACCAGCACCUCAAGUGGUCAGGAUGAUUAUUGGGCCUAAAGCAUCCGUAGCCGGCUCUGUAAGUUUUCGGUUAAAUCUGUACGCUUAACGUACAGGCUGCCGGGAAUACUGCAGAGCUAGGGAGUGGGAGAGGUAGACGGUACUCGGUAGGAAGGGGUAAAAUCCUUUGAUCUAUUGAUGACCACCUGUGGCGAAGGCGGUCUACCAGAACACGUCCGACGGUGAGGGAUGAAAGCUGGGGGAGCAAACCGGAUUAGAUACCCGGGUAGUCCCAGCUGUAAACUAUGCAAACUCAGUGAUGCAUUGGCUUGUGGCCAAUGCAGUGCUGCAGGGAAGCCGUUAAGUUUGCCGCCUGGGAAGUACGUACGCAAGUAUGAAACUCAAAGGAAUU
RNAcentral lists this ribosomal RNA (769 nucleotides) under uncultured crenarchaeote. Its description in RNAcentral is "bacterial SSU rRNA". It matches the Rfam family "Archaeal small subunit ribosomal RNA", at positions 96 to 866 of the family's 1478-position model. Lineage: Archaea; Thermoproteati; Thermoproteota. The record is from RNAcentral.